AAAAAACAAAGGAAUUAAAAUUCCUCAUUGCACACCAGCUCUCUCUCCCUCUCUCAGCGGCAUCACGAGAUAUCACCUCCCUCUUUCUCUGCUCUUUGAUUCUAGGUUCGUCUGCACCUCAUUGAUCCAUGCCAUCACCUCUUCCUUUUCCACACUUCUUUCUCUUCAAUCCUUUUCUUUGUUUUUUUCUUAAUUGUUUAUUGUGCCAUUUUUUUUAUUUUGAUCAAGGAGUUUUCAAUUUUUGGGGUUCAUGCAAUUGAACGUCAUCGAGCUGGUUUUUUUUUAUGAUUGGGGUUUUUGGUUUGUGUUCUGUUCUUAAUAAAUUUUGGGGAGGGCAGUGUUUUAUAAGGUUAAUUAAUAUCGGUUCAGAGGAAGCAGUUGGGUUUGUUUUUUUGGGUUCUCAAUUGGAUCACUGUUGUUCGUAAGCACGCAGAAGUGGUUGUAGAUGAUGAUGUUAUCUUUUUUGUCUUUAAGAAAUAUUGUAAAAUAUGUAAUCGAUCACAAGUUAGUUUAACUACAAUUUCAGACUCUGAUACUCUACUCUACUCCUGUAUUGGUUUUAUUUACUAAAGUUGGUUGGUAUUAUAUUUAUAUGAAAGCUGUCAUACAAUUCAAAAUUGAAUUAGAAUACAAUACUGUACUAAAUACCUGUAAGUCUGUAAUGUGUUAAUAAUAAAUAAAAAGCUAUCUAAUAUUCUUCUAACUUGACAGAGACGUCCACCAAUUGAUACAGGCAAGGGAAAGCUGAAUCUGGUAAGUUUUCUAAUUUUAGUUUUCUAUUUUUAUGUUGUUACUGUUAUCCUAAUCUGUUAUACAUAAUAGUGACACACGUUCUUUGCUUUUGAGUGAAAAUUAUUAAUUCAAGGCAGGCUAGGUACUUGGAAGUUGUGUUAAUUGUGCUUAUAGUUCCAAAUAAUUGUAACCGUCUAAUGGAAUCUUGGUAAACAUGCUCAAGCAAUAGUGGGUUUAAUACUGAUGUAACAUUCGAAAAAGACUUUGAAUUGAGAGCUCAAAAUCAUAUAUAUUUGGGAAAACAGUGUUCUUGGGGCAUGUUUUCUGACUGAGUAAUAAUAAACAUUUAGUCCGAGUCUUAUCAAUUUUCUAUCUCAAUCAUUAAGUGCUAUAAAAGUAGAAUAGUUCUGAUUCUGAAAACUGGACAAGCUGGUCUGAACUGGAAAAGUGGAUCAAUGGCCAGACAGUCAUGCUUCCAGAUUAACUAAGAACCACAAUACUUAAAACUGGCUUUGAAAGCAGUAAACUGGGGAGACUUCCCUUUAUUGGUUCAAUGACUGGUAUGGUCUUCAAAACCUUGAUAUGGAGUGAGGAAAUGUCUGUAAUUCACUAGUUAGUGAAAUUCUUCUGAUUAAUUGUAUUUCAAAACACAUCAGGAAAUUUGAUUUUUAGGAUUAGGAGUUUGUAGGUUCUGUUUACCCAAUGGCAUCUGAUUUUUUUCAAGUAAUAGUCGUUAAAGAUCUAGAUGUGAGAUUUGACGAGUGAUUAUUUAAUUGUUGUUGGAAAUUGCUAUUUAAAAUUUCUCCCUUUGCUCCCCUCUAUUAUUCUGCCUUUUAUUUAAAUCUGAUUUGCAAAGUAUGUUCUGGUAGUUACUGUUCAAUCCCAUAGAACAACUGUUGAAUGUGUCUUUUUUCUUUUUUGUUAUCUUCAACAAUAUAAUUUUAUGAAGUAUGCUGAGACCCUAAUGUUGUUUACAGUGAUAAUAUUGUGAUGCUACUCAGUACUCAUUUCAUAAUAUAGCUUUCUUUUCUUUUCUUUUUCAAUACUGAUAAUUGCUUGCUAUGGUUUUGGUGCAAGUGCAGAAACUUCAGAAGCAGCACAAUUGUAUUCCAGAUGAACACUAUGUGCAGACAUUGCUUGCAAUAAGAUACUGAGACAUUUAUUCCAUCAUCAUUAUCUAUGUUUUUUUCUUUUGGGGGGGGGGGGGGGGGGGGGGGGGGGUGUUCUUCAAUCCUAUUUAUUCUUGCUUCUGCUUUAUUCACAAAUUACCUUGAUAAAAUGUUGUCAUUGAUGAGCAGUAACUUUUUAAGGGUUAAUUUGCA
RNAcentral lists this long non-coding RNA (2054 nucleotides) under Glycine max (soybean). Its description in RNAcentral is "long non-coding RNA (GMAX_LNC000144)". Lineage: Eukaryota; Viridiplantae; Streptophyta; Magnoliopsida; Fabales; Fabaceae. The record is from RNAcentral.